GGGUUGUGAGGUUAAGCGACUAAGCGUACACGGUGGAUGCCCUGGCAGUCAGAGGCGAUGAAGGACGUGCUAAUCUGCGAAAAGCGUCGGUAAGGUGAUAUGAACCGUUAUAACCGGCGAUGUCCGAAUGGGGAAACCCAGUGCAAUUCGUUGCACUAUCGUUAACUGAAUACAUAGGUUAACGAGGCGAACCGGGGGAACUGAAACAUCUAAGUACCCCGAGGAAAAGAAAUCAACCGAGAUUCCCCCAGUAGCGGCGAGCGAACGGGGAGCAGCCCAGAGUCUGAAUCAGCUUGUGUGUUAGUGGAACGGUCUGGAAAGUCCGACGGUACAGGGUGAUAGUCCCGUACACCAAAAUGCACAGGCUGUGAACUCGAAGAGUAGGGCGGGACACGUGGUAUCCUGUCUGAAUAUGGGGGGACCAUCCUCCAAGGCUAAAUACUCCUGACUGACCGAUAGUGAACCAGUACCGUGAGGGAAAGGCGAAAAGAACCCCGGCGAGGGGAGUGAAAAAGAACCUGAAACCGUGUACGUACAAGCAGUGGGAGCACCUUCGGGUGUGACUGCGUACCUUUUGUAUAAUGGGUCAGCGACUUAUAUUCUGUAGCAAGGUUAACCGUAUAGGGGAGCCGCAGGGAAACCGAGUCUUAACUGGGCGUUAAGUUGCAGGGUAUAGACCCGAAACCCGGUGAUCUAGCCAUGGGCAGGUUGAAGGUUGGGUAACACUAACUGGAGGACCGAACCGACUAAUGUUGAAAAAUUAGCGGAUGACUUGUGGCUGGGGGUGAAAGGCCAAUCAAACCGGGAGAUAGCUGGUUCUCCCCGAAAGCUAUUUAGGUAGCGCCUCGUGAAUUCAUCUUCGGGGGUAGAGCACUGUUUCGGCUAGGGGGUCAUCCCGACUUACCAACCCGAUGCAAACUACGAAUACCGAAGAAUGUUAUCACGGGAGACACACGGCGGGUGCUAACGUCCGUCGUGAAGAGGGAAACAACCCAGACCGCCAGCUAAGGUCCCAAAGUCAUGGUUAAGUGGGAAACGAUGUGGGAAGGCACAGACAGCCAGGAUGUUGGCUUAGAAGCAGCCAUCAUUUAAAGAAAGCGUAAUAGCUCACUGGUCGAGUCGGCCUGCGCGGAAGAUGUAACGGGGCUAAACCAUGCACCGAAGCUGCGGCAGCGACACUAUGUGUUGUUGGGUAGGGGAGCGUUCUGUAAGCCUGCGAAGGUGACCUGUGAGGGUUGCUGGAGGUAUCAGAAGUGCGAAUGCUGACAUAAGUAACGAUAAAGCGGGUGAAAAGCCCGCUCGCCGGAAGACCAAGGGUUCCUGUCCAACGUUAAUCGGGGCAGGGUGAGUCGACCCCUAAGGCGAGGCCGAAAGGCGUAGUCGAUGGGAAACAGGUUAAUAUUCCUGUACUUGGUGUUACUGCGAAGGGGGGACGGAGAAGGCUAUGUUAGCCGGGCGACGGUUGUCCCGGUUUAAGCAUGUAGGCUGGUUAUCCAGGCAAAUCCGGAUAAUCAAGGCUGAGGUGUGAUGACGAGGUACUACGGUGCUGAAGUAACAAAUGCCCUGCUUCCAGGAAAAGCCUCUAAGCAUCAGGUAACAUCAAAUCGUACCCCAAACCGACACAGGUGGUCAGGUAGAGAAUACCAAGGCGCUUGAGAGAACUCGGGUGAAGGAACUAGGCAAAAUGGUGCCGUAACUUCGGGAGAAGGCACGCUGGUGUGUAGGUGAAGUCCCUGCGGAUGGAGCUGAGACCAGUCGAAGAUACCAGCUGGCUGCAACUGUUUAUUAAAAACACAGCACUGUGCAAACACGAAAGUGGACGUAUACGGUGUGACGCCUGCCCGGUGCCGGAAGGUUAAUUGAUGGGGUUAUCCGUAAGGAGAAGCUCUUGAUCGAAGCCCCGGUAAACGGCGGCCGUAACUAUAACGGUCCUAAGGUAGCGAAAUUCCUUGUCGGGUAAGUUCCGACCUGCACGAAUGGCGUAAUGAUGGCCAGGCUGUCUCCACCCGAGACUCAGUGAAAUUGAACUCGCUGUGAAGAUGCAGUGUACCCGCGGCAAGACGGAAAGACCCCGUGAACCUUUACUAUAGCUUGACACUGAACAUUGAGCCUUGAUGUGUAGGAUAGGUGGGAGGCUUUGAAGCGUGGACGCCAGUCUGCGUGGAGCCAACCUUGAAAUACCACCCUUUAAUGUUUGAUGUUCUAACGUUGGCCCCU
Molecule: ribosomal RNA, 2217 nt
Filed under: Klebsiella pneumoniae
Lineage: Bacteria; Pseudomonadati; Pseudomonadota; Gammaproteobacteria; Enterobacterales; Enterobacteriaceae
Description: bacterial LSU rRNA
Rfam family: Bacterial large subunit ribosomal RNA
Source: RNAcentral